RNAcentral lists this ribosomal RNA (642 nucleotides) under Staphylococcus haemolyticus. Its description in RNAcentral is "bacterial SSU rRNA". It matches the Rfam family "Bacterial small subunit ribosomal RNA", at positions 1 to 656 of the family's 1533-position model. The record is from RNAcentral. Lineage: Bacteria; Bacillati; Bacillota; Bacilli; Caryophanales; Staphylococcaceae.
AACCCGUAGGAUCCGUAAAAGCAUGUACUUGGAGCGAGAAGACGUAGAGCUGUGCUCCUUUGACGUUAGCGGCGGACGGGUGAGUAACACGUGGGUAACCUACCUAUAAGACUGGGAUAACUUCGGGAAACCGGAGCUAAUACCGGAUAAUAUUUCGAACCGCAUGGUUCGAUAGUGAAAGAUGGUUUUGCUAUCACUUAUAGAUGGACCCGCGCCGUAUUAGCUAGUUGGUAAGGUAACGGCUUACCAAGGCGACGAUACGUAGCCGACCUGAGAGGGUGAUCGGCCACACUGGAACUGAGACACGGUCCAGACUCCUACGGGAGGCAGCAGUAGGGAAUCUUCCGCAAUGGGCGAAAGCCUGACGGAGCAACGCCGCGUGAGUGAUGAAGGUCUUCGGAUCGUAAAACUCUGUUAUUAGGGAAGAACAUACGUGUAAGUAACUAUGCACGUCUUGACGGUACCUAAUCAGAAAGCCACGGCUAACUACGUGCCAGCAGCCGCGGUAAUACGUAGGUGGCAAGCGUUAUCCGGAAUUAUUGGGCGUAAAGCGCGCGUAGGCGGUUUUUUAAGUCUGAUGUGAAAGCCCACGGCUCAACCGUGGAAUGGCAUUGGAGACUGUAACAUUUGCUUUUAACCCGG